This 295-nucleotide ribosomal RNA is filed under the name Metridia lucens. Its description in RNAcentral is "partial 28S ribosomal RNA". It matches the Rfam family "Eukaryotic large subunit ribosomal RNA", at positions 666 to 944 of the family's 3401-position model. Lineage: Eukaryota; Metazoa; Arthropoda; Copepoda; Calanoida; Metridinidae. RNAcentral also lists the same sequence under 1 other name. The record is from RNAcentral.
CCAAGGAGUGUAACAUGUAUGCGAGCCAUUGGGUUGACUAAACCUAGAGGCGCAGUGAAAGCAAAGAGUAGCUUGUCUGCUCGAGGGACGAUCCGCAAGGCGCAGUCCCGCAACUUCCAAUCGACCUCGCAUCGUUGGGAGUAUGUAGAGCAUAAAUGUUGCGACCCGAAAGAUGGUGAACUAUGCCUGGCCAGGUUGAAGACAGGGGAAACUCUGUUGGAGGACCGUAGCGAUUCUGACGUGCACAAUCGAUCGUCGGAGCUGGGUUUAGGGGCGAAAGACUAAUCGAACCAUC